RNAcentral lists this ribosomal RNA (503 nucleotides) under uncultured bacterium. RNAcentral's name for it is "bacterial SSU rRNA". It matches the Rfam family "Bacterial small subunit ribosomal RNA", at positions 791 to 1300 of the family's 1533-position model. The record is from RNAcentral.
UAGUCCACGCCGUAAACGAUGUUCACUCGCUGUUGGCGAUAUAUAGUCAGUGGCUAAGCGAAAGCGAUAAGUGAACCACCUGGGGAGUACGUCGGCAACGAUGAAACUCAAAGGAAUUGACGGGGGCCCGCACAAGCGGUGGAACAUGUGGUUUAAUUCGAUGAUACGCGAGGAACCUUACCUGGACUUAAAUGUAGGUUGCAUAAGCCAGAGAUGGCUUUUUCUUCGGACUACCUACAAGGUGCUGCAUGGUUGUCGUCAGCUCGUGCCGUGAGGUGUCGGGUUAAGUCCCAUAACGAGCGCAACCCCUAUCAUUAGUUGCUAACAGGUCAAGCUGAGGACUCUGAUGAGACUGCCGGUGUAAACCGCGAGGAAGGUGGGGAUGACGUCAAAUCAGCACGGCCCUUACGUCCAGGGCUACACACGUGUUACAAUGGCCGGUACAGAGGGCAGCUACUUGGUGACAAGAUGCGAAUCUCGAAAGCCGGUCUCAGUUCGGAUCG